This is a non-coding RNA of Lupinus albus (white lupine), 176 nucleotides long. The record is from the annotation of a GenBank genome assembly. Lineage: Eukaryota; Viridiplantae; Streptophyta; Magnoliopsida; Fabales; Fabaceae.
UUUACUAGGCCUUUUGGGUAUCUGUUCUUAUCAGUUUAAUAUCUGAUAUAUGGGUCAUUGGCCCACACGAUAUUAAAUUACUUUUUUAAAGUGAAGAGUCCAUUACAAAAGCUUGCUAUUGGGUCUCUCAGCUAUCGCUCAUGUGUUGCACUAUUACAUGAGCCGGUGUACCCUAC